This 252-nucleotide ribosomal RNA is filed under the name uncultured bacterium. RNAcentral describes it as "partial 16S ribosomal RNA". It matches the Rfam family "Bacterial small subunit ribosomal RNA", at positions 524 to 776 of the family's 1533-position model. The record is from RNAcentral.
UACGGAGGAUGCGGGCGUUAUCCGGAUUUAUUGGGUUUAAAGGGUGCGUAGGCGGAUCGUUAAGUCAGUGGUCAAAUUGAGGGGCUCAACCCCUUCCCGCCAUUGAAACUGGCGCUCUUGAGUGGAAGAGAAGUAUGCGGAAUGCGUGGUGUAGCGGUGAAAUGCGUAGAUAUUAGGAAGAACACCAGUGGCGAAGGCGGCUUUCUGGACUGAAACUGACGCUGAGGCACGAAAGCGUGGGGAGCGAACAGG